GCUGGGCAUAGUGGCACGUGCCUGUAGUCCCAGCUACUUGGGAGGCUGAAGUGGGAGGAUCACUUGAGCCCAGGAGCUCUGGGCUGUAGUGCGCUAUGCUGAUCGGGUGUCCGCACUAAGUUCAGCAUCAAUAUGGUGACCUCCCAGGAGCUGGGGAUCACCAGGUUGCCUAAGGAGGGGUGAACUGGCCCAGGUCAGAAACAGAGCAGGUCAAAACUCCCGUGCUGAUCAGUAGUGGGAUCGCACCUGUGAAUAGCCACUGCACUCCAGCCUGGGCAACAUAGCGAGAUCCUGUCUCU
Molecule: signal recognition particle RNA, 299 nt
Filed under: Cebus imitator (Panamanian white-faced capuchin)
Lineage: Eukaryota; Metazoa; Chordata; Mammalia; Primates; Cebidae
Description: Metazoan signal recognition particle RNA (ENSCCAG00000010631.1)
Rfam family: Metazoan signal recognition particle RNA
About the family: The signal recognition particle (SRP) is a universally conserved ribonucleoprotein.
Source: RNAcentral